RNAcentral lists this ribosomal RNA (1343 nucleotides) under uncultured bacterium. RNAcentral describes it as "16S ribosomal RNA". It matches the Rfam family "Bacterial small subunit ribosomal RNA", at positions 28 to 1378 of the family's 1533-position model. The record is from RNAcentral.
GACGAACGCUGGCGGCGUGCUUAACACAUGCAAGUCGAACGGAAAGGCCCUGCUUUUGUGGGGUGCUCGAGUGGCGAACGGGUGAGUAACACGUGAGUAACCUGCCCUUGACUUUGGGAUAACUUCAGGAAACUGGGGCUAAUACCGGAUAGGAGCUCCUGCUGCAUGGUGGGGGUUGGAAAGUUUCGGCGGUUGGGGAUGGACUCGCGGCUUAUCAGCUUGUUGGUGGGGUAGUGGCUUACCAAGGCUUUGACGGGUAGCCGGCCUGAGAGGGUGACCGGCCACAUUGGGACUGAGAUACGGCCCAGACUCCUACGGGAGGCAGCAGUGGGGAAUAUUGCACAAUGGGCGGAAGCCUGAUGCAGCAACGCCGCGUGCGGGAUGACGGCCUUCGGGUUGUAAACCGCUUUCGCCUGUGACGAAGCGUGAGUGACGGUAAUGGGUAAAGAAGCACCGGCUAACUACGUGCCAGCAGCCGCGGUGAUACGUAGGGUGCGAGCGUUGUCCGGAUUUAUUGGGCGUAAAGGGCUCGUAGGUGGUUGAUCGCGUCGGAAGUGUAAUCUUGGGGCUUAACCCUGAGCGUGCUUUCGAUACGGGUUGACUUGAGGAAGGUAGGGGAGAAUGGAAUUCCUGGUGGAGCGGUGGAAUGCGCAGAUAUCAGGAGGAACACCAGUGGCGAAGGCGGUUCUCUGGGCCUUUCCUGACGCUGAGGAGCGAAAGCGUGGGGAGCGAACAGGCUUAGAUACCCUGGUAGUCCACGCUGUAAACGGUGGGUACUAGGUGUGGGGUCCAUUCCACGGGUUCCGUGCCGUAGCUAACGCUUUAAGUACCCCGCCUGGGGAGUACGGCCGCAAGGCUAAAACUCAAAGGAAUUGACGGGGCCCCGCACAAGCGGCGGAGCAUGCGGAUUAAUUCGAUGCAACGCGUAGAACCUUACCUGGGUUUGACAUGGAUCGGGAGUGCUCAGAGAUGGGUGUGCCUCUUUUGGGGUCGGUUCACAGGUGGUGCAUGGCUGUCGUCAACUCGUGUCGUGAGAUGUUGGGUUAAGUCCCGCAACGAGCGCAACCCUUGUUCACUGUUGCCAGCACGUUAUGGUGGGGACUCAGUGGAGACCGCCGGGGUCAACUCGGAGGAAGGUGGGGAUGACGUCAAGUCAUCAUGCCCCUUAUGUCCAGGGCUUCACGCAUGCUACAAUGGCUGGUACAGAGAGUGGCGAGCCUGUGAGGGUGAGCGAAUCUCGGAAAGCCGGUCUCAGUUCGGAUUGGGGUCUGCAACUCGACCUCAUGAAGUCGGAGUCGCUAGUAAUCGCAGAUCAGCAACGCUGCGGUGAAUACGUUCCCGGG